Long non-coding RNA from Panonychus citri (citrus red mite), 1322 nucleotides. RefSeq lists it as uncharacterized. The transcript has 2 exons. The record is from RefSeq and is a predicted model, not a curated record. NCBI's taxonomy places the organism in Eukaryota, Metazoa, Arthropoda, Arachnida, Trombidiformes, Tetranychidae.
AAUUUGUAUUUUAUUGGAAUAUUUUUAAGGACAUUUCUUAUCUCAAUUAGUGAAUUUAUUAGACAUUGGAAAGCUUUCUACGAAUUAUUAGAUGAAUUAUGUACAUUGAAUCGCCAACAAAAUUCUGAAUAUAAUGAACGUCGUGGGCGUCGAGUGGUUAGAAGAUGCUGUGGAUAAUAUGGACAUAAAUAGAAGAUAAUUUUACUCAAUUAAUUUGUUAUUUUCUUCAUCUAAUCUGAUCAUUAAGACUUAAUCAACAAAGAUGCUGAUUCGACGAAAGAUCCACUUACAUAAACAAAACUACAUAUAAAUAGAACCUAAAGACUUAAUAAUACAACGAAUCAACAUAAACAAUCAAUUUGAUGAACAAUGGAAACCUCAUUUGGAUGAAUACUCUCUCCUGAGAACAAACUCUUUCAUCAUCUAGUCAUCCAUCUCAUCAUUAUCUUCCUACUUAUUCACUAUUCCUAAGGAUUUAUCCUUCUCAUUUCCUUCAUUUCUCUCGCUUUCGAAAGAUAUUCAAGGCUUCUCUUCCUAUUCUUACCAAUAGACUGUCAGAUAAUCUCACAACGAUAAUGAUGAUUAAAGAAAACACGGAAAAUACCAAAGGAAUCAGGUAACGAGUUAAUCGUUAUAAUGGUUAUCCACUUAACUCACCAAGAAAAAAGCUCUUCCAUUGGAACCAAACUGAAAAGAUCCGACAAUUAGUGAAUUAAUUGUCUUUGCAACAACAAUCAACAUUAAUUGUUCAACAAAUUACAUCAGCCAUCAAGGUGUGUUUAAAAACUUGUACCACAACAAUCAACUAUCAAUCAAUCCUUGAGAAUCAAAUCAAAUCAUGUAACUCUGGGAAUUCAUUUUACUUUUGUUUCUUUAGAUGAGACAAAAGAAAAAAAGAGAGAACAUGAAGAUAGAUUUCCAUCAUCUUCUUUAUCAUCCUCAUCUUGUCAUUCAACAUAUGAUUUAAUAGUCUUUGGAUCUAAUUGUCAUUAAUUAAUUUCUUCCUCAUCAUCAAUUGUUGUAUUUCAAUCAAUUUCCUUCCGUGCACAUUGAAGGUGAACCUUUUUCUUUUUCUUGCCACUCGAUCAUCAAUUUAAUUAUCCUUGAUGUGAUUCCAAUGAUUAACUAUUAUGUUUUAAAUUAACUCGGUCAAGGAAUACAACUGAAUCAGGAGCAAGAAAUUCAUUAAAUUAACAUUUUAAAUUGUUAAUCAUCUUGUGUUUACGUUGAUUGUUAUUGUUUUAACUUUCGCUUUACCUAAAUUGUGAUUCAAUAAUUAACAAUGAUCAUGAUUUAAUUUCUGAUCAUUUUCAUGUUCAAAA